UACGAAGGGGGCUAGCGUUGCUCGGAAUCACUGGGCGUAAAGCGCACGUAGGCGGCUUUGUAAGUUAGAGGUGAAAGCCCGGGGCUCAACUCCGGAAUUGCCUUUAAGACUGCAUCGCUAGAACGUCGGAGAGGUAAGUGGAAUUCCGAGUGUAGAGGUGAAAUUCGUAGAUAUUCGGAAGAACACCAGUGGCGAAGGCGACUUACUGGACGACUGUUGACGCUGAGGUGCGAAAGCGUGGGGAGCAAACAGG
This 253-nucleotide ribosomal RNA is filed under the name uncultured bacterium. RNAcentral's name for it is "partial 16S ribosomal RNA". It matches the Rfam family "Bacterial small subunit ribosomal RNA", at positions 524 to 776 of the family's 1533-position model. The record is from RNAcentral.